RNAcentral lists this microRNA (23 nucleotides) under Drosophila virilis. Its description in RNAcentral is "dvi-miR-9694-3p". Lineage: Eukaryota; Metazoa; Arthropoda; Insecta; Diptera; Drosophilidae. The record is from miRBase by way of RNAcentral.
AACAGUUGAGUGUCGUGAUUCCA